CCGNGGAGGGUCAUUGGAAACUGGGAGACUUGAGUGCAGAAGAGGAAAGUGGAAUUCCAUGUGUAGCGGUGAAAUGCGUAGAGAUAUGGAGGAACNCCAGUGGCGAAGGCGACUUUNUGGUCUGUAACUGACNNUGAGGCGNGAAAGCGUGGGGAGCAAACNGGAUUAGAUACCCUGGUAGUNCACGCCGUNAACGAUGAGUGCUAAGUGUUAGAGGGUUUCCGCCCUUUAGUGNUGAAGUUAACGCCUUCAGCACUCCGCCUGGGGAGAACGGCCGCAAGGNUGAAACUCAAAGGAAUUGACGGGGGCCCGCACNAGCGGUGGAGCAUGUGGUUUAAUUNGAAGCAACGCGAAGAACCUUACCAGGUCUUGACAUCCUNUGACAACCCNAGAGAUAGGGCUUNUCCUUNGGGAGCAGAGUGACAGGUGGUGCAUGGUUGUNGUCAGCUNGUGUNGUGAGAUGUUGGGUUAAGUCCCGCAACGAGCGCAACCCUUGAUNUUAGUUGCCAUCAUUNAGUUGGGCACUNUAAGGUGACNGCCGGUGACAAACCGGAGGAAGGUGGGGAUGACGUCAAAUCAUCAUGCCCCUUAUGACCUGGGCUACACACNUGNUACAAUGGACGGUACAAAGAGCUGCAAGACCGCGAGGUGGAGCUAAUNUCAUAAAACCGUUNUCAGUUCGGAUUGUAGGCUGCAACUNGCCUACAUGAAGCNGGAAUCGCUNGUAAUCGCGGAUCAGCAUGCCGCGGUGAAUACGUUCCCGGGCCUUGUACACACCGCCCGUCACACCNCGAGAGUUUGUAACACCCGAAGUCGGUGGGGUA
RNAcentral lists this ribosomal RNA (824 nucleotides) under bacterium. RNAcentral's name for it is "partial 16S ribosomal RNA". It matches the Rfam family "Bacterial small subunit ribosomal RNA", at positions 613 to 1437 of the family's 1533-position model. The record is from RNAcentral.